GAUGAAGAACGUAGCGAAAUGCGAUAAGUAAUGUGAAUUGCAGAAUUCAGUGAAUCAUCGAAUCUUUGAACGCACAUUGCGCCCCUUGGUAUUCCGGGGGGCAUGCCUGUCCGAGCGUCAUUGCUGCCCUCAAGCCCGGCUUGUGUGUUGGGCCCCGUCCCCCGAUCUCCGGGGGACGGGCCCGAAAGGCAGCGGCGGCACCGCGUCCGGUCCUCGAGCGUAUGGGGCUUUGUCACCCGCUCUGUAGGCCCGGCCGGCGCUUGCCGAUCAACCCAAAUUUUUAUCCAGGUUGACCUCGGAUCAGGUAGGGAUACCCGCUGAACUUAAGCAUAUCAAUAAGCGGAGGA
Molecule: unclassified non-coding RNA, 347 nt
Filed under: soil metagenome
Description: partial contains 5.8S ribosomal RNA, internal transcribed spacer 2, and large subunit ribosomal RNA
Rfam family: 5.8S ribosomal RNA (bases 1-120)
Source: RNAcentral